Molecule: non-coding RNA, 69 nt
Organism: Desmophyllum pertusum
Lineage: Eukaryota; Metazoa; Cnidaria; Anthozoa; Scleractinia; Caryophylliidae
Source: the annotation of a GenBank genome assembly
GCGGUGGCCUAAUGGUUAGCGCGUUGGACUAGAGAUCAAGCGGACCGGGUUCGAGCCUUGGCCUGGGCC